AUACGUAGGGUGCGAGCGUUAAUCGGAAUUACUGGGCGUAAAGCGUGCGCAGGCGGUUUUGUAAGACAGUGGUGAAAUCCCCGGGCUCAACCUGGGAACUGCCAUUGUGACUGCAAGGCUGGAGUGCGGCAGAGGGGGAUGGAAUUCCGCGUGUAGCAGUGAAAUGCGUAGAUAUGCGGAGGAACACCGAUGGCGAAGGCAAUCCCCUGGGCCUGCACUGACGCUCAUGCACGAAAGCGUGGUGAGCAAACAGGAUUAGAUACCCUGGUCGUCCACGCCCUAAACGAUGUCAACUGGUUGUUGGGAAUUUAUUUUCUCAGUAACGAAGCUAACGCGAUAAGUUGACCGCCUGGGGAGUACGGCCGCAAGGUUAAAACUCAAAUGAAUUGACGGGG
RNAcentral lists this ribosomal RNA (395 nucleotides) under uncultured bacterium. RNAcentral describes it as "partial 16S ribosomal RNA". It matches the Rfam family "Bacterial small subunit ribosomal RNA", at positions 523 to 918 of the family's 1533-position model. The record is from RNAcentral.